UGCGUAGGCGGACUAAUAAGUCAGUGGUGAAAUCUCUCGGCUCAACCGGGAAUCUGCCAUUGAUACUGUUAGUCUUGAGUUCGGUUGAGGUAGGCGGAAUGUGUAAUGUAGCGGUGAAAUGCUUAGAUAUUACACAGAACACCAAUUGCGUAGGCAGCUUACUAGACCGACACUGACGCUGAGGCACGAAAGCGUGGGUAGCGAACAGGAUUAGAUACCCUGGUAGUC
This 228-nucleotide ribosomal RNA is filed under the name uncultured bacterium. Its description in RNAcentral is "partial 16S ribosomal RNA". It matches the Rfam family "Bacterial small subunit ribosomal RNA", at positions 568 to 795 of the family's 1533-position model. The record is from RNAcentral.